AAAAAGACAUUGAACAGGAGAAGUAAGUUCACACUGCUUUAGUUAGAGAGGAAUCAUCAUAGGCUGGAAAUGGUUCUAAAGUAUAGGUGAAUUGAAGUGCCCCUGGGAGUCAUUGCUUGAAGGAGAGUAGGGUAAAUCGGGAGGUCCCGUUACAGACUAAAAGGGGAAUGAACUUUUUCAUUCAACCAGAGUGGAACCGCGGAAAAACUUCGUCUCUGUC
Molecule: non-coding RNA, 220 nt
Filed under: Andreesenella formicacetica
Lineage: Bacteria; Bacillati; Bacillota; Clostridia; Peptostreptococcales; Natronincolaceae
Description: Clostridium formicaceticum T-box sequence
Rfam family: T-box leader
About the family: Uncharged tRNA acts as the effector for transcription antitermination of genes in the T-box leader family. T-boxes are found upstream of many aminoacyl-tRNA synthetase genes and some amino acid biosynthetic genes usually in Gram-positive bacteria.
Source: RNAcentral